AUGCUCAUUUCGGCAGCACAUACACUAAAAUUGGAAAGAUCCAGAGAAGAUUAGCAUGGCCCCAGAGCAAGGGUGACAUGCCAAUUCGUGAAGCAUUCCAUAUUAAG
Ailuropoda melanoleuca (giant panda) is the source of this 107-nucleotide small nuclear RNA. Lineage: Eukaryota; Metazoa; Chordata; Mammalia; Carnivora; Ursidae. The record is from Ensembl.